GAGCAACUCACUUAUUUUAGAAGAACCAAAGAAGGCUUCACAGAGCUGAAUAAUCUCUUUAACUGAUUAACUGAAGUUAAUUCUCACUGGCCAGCAAAAAGUUCGGUGAAAUUAGCCUCGGGAGAAACUAAGAUGGCAAAGGCUAUUUUGUGGGAGGUAAGAGAAGAGGGAGAAACAGAGACAAGAGACAGUAGGGGGGAAUGGCUAAGAAUGGUCCGUCUGGGCAUUGUUGGUGAAACGGCUUAGUGGUUGUGGAGUCACUAGAGCCACACGUUGUAUGUGAAGUCAUCAAAGCGGACAUCAGGGAGCCCUGGAGUUGGUCCCUCAUCCCCAGGAAAGGAGGACACCGGCUUUCCACCAGCCUCAGCAGGUCCACCCUCAGACAAGGCUCCCCAUAGGCUCCUCCUCAGGCUGUCCUGCUGUGAACAUUGACCCCACAAUCUGCACAACCUGUGUAGAAUCACUUCCAAGUUGACCAAGACUUGCUAAAUUAUCUCAUGAAGGACAACAAAG
Molecule: long non-coding RNA, 513 nt
Filed under: Homo sapiens (human)
Lineage: Eukaryota; Metazoa; Chordata; Mammalia; Primates; Hominidae
Description: non-protein coding lnc-SLC25A15-11:1
Source: RNAcentral